AGAAAACCGCAGUUGUGUGCCCUUCGACGGCGGCGGCGGCGGCAGCGGCAGCGAUGGACAAGGCCGUAAUCUUUACGGAUUAUCGUUUCCUCUUUGACGCUAUCGCCAGGGCGUUCGUCGAACGCUACCACCGGACGUUCGCCCAUUGAACAGACUAUGAAGAGCUCCCCUUUGAUGAUGUCGGCAGCGAUGGACUGGUGCGCGACAAAGAGGAAACGGUAAUCCAUAAUAUUUACGCAUUCCCUUGUCCACUUGCUCGCCCACUUAACAGAGACUAGAAAGAGCUCCUCUUUAACUGCGUCGGCAGCGAUUGACAGCCAAUCACGUUUACAACAACAAGGUUGCGGCUUCGUACAGUGGCUACAAGGGUGGUCUCAGGUUAUGGACUAAAGACAGCAACUCAUUCAAUGAACCCCUUGACCAUGCCCAUUAAUCGGACCGUAGUACGGUUGCGGCUCAUAAAUCGUGUUUAGUAUCAUAAUAAAUUUAUGUCAUAGAUCUAUUACAAAUGUUGUAUGCCAUGGUACAUGGUUAUGACUCUUUAUCCCAAUGUGAUUGGAUGAUUGUGUGUAUGAAUGUUGUAAUUCAUAAUA
This is a long non-coding RNA of Zingiber officinale, 593 nucleotides long. RefSeq lists it as uncharacterized. The transcript has 2 exons. The record is from RefSeq and is a predicted model, not a curated record. Lineage: Eukaryota; Viridiplantae; Streptophyta; Magnoliopsida; Zingiberales; Zingiberaceae.